CCUAUGGGUGGCUGCAGUGGGGAAUAUUGGACAAUGGGGGGAACCCUGAUCCAGCCAUGCCGCGUGUGUGAAGAAGGCCCUCGGGUUGUAAAGCACUUUCAGUGAGGAAGAACGCCUGGUGGUUAAUACCCAUCAGGAAAGACAUCACUCACAGAAGAAGCACCGGCUAACUCCGUGCCAGCAGCCGCGGUAAUACGGAGGGUGCGAGCGUUAAUCGGAAUUACUGGGCGUAAAGCGCGCGUAGGUGGCUUGAUAAGUCGGUUGUGAAAGCCCCGGGCUCAACCUGGGAACGGCAUCCGGAACUGUCAAGCUAGAGUGCAGGAGAGGAAGGUAGAAUUCCCGGUGUAGCGGUGAAAUGCGUAGAGAUCGGGAGGAAUACCAGUGGCGAAGGCGGCCUUCUGGACUGACACUGACACUGAGGUGCGAAAGCGUGGGUAGCAAACAGGAUUAGAUACCCCGGUAGUC
RNAcentral lists this ribosomal RNA (465 nucleotides) under Vreelandella stevensii. RNAcentral's name for it is "partial 16S ribosomal RNA". It matches the Rfam family "Bacterial small subunit ribosomal RNA", at positions 338 to 795 of the family's 1533-position model. The record is from RNAcentral. Lineage: Bacteria; Pseudomonadati; Pseudomonadota; Gammaproteobacteria; Oceanospirillales; Halomonadaceae.